RNAcentral lists this ribosomal RNA (497 nucleotides) under uncultured bacterium. RNAcentral's name for it is "partial 16S ribosomal RNA". It matches the Rfam family "Bacterial small subunit ribosomal RNA", at positions 28 to 507 of the family's 1533-position model. The record is from RNAcentral.
GAUGAACGCUGGCGGCGUGCCUAAUACAUGCAAGUCGAGCGAACAGACGAGGAGCUUGCUCCUCUGACGUUAGCGGCGGACGGGUGAGUAACACGUGGAUCACCUACCUAUAAGACUGGGAUAACUUCGGGAAACCGGAGCUAAUACCGGAUAAUAUAUUGAACCGCAUGGUUCAAUAGUGAAAGACGGUUUUGCUGUCACUUAUAGAUGGAUCCGCGCCGCAUUAGCUAGUUGGUAAGGUAACGGCUUACCACGGCAACGAUGCGUAGCCGACCUGUGAGGGUGAUCGGCAACAAUGGGAAUGAGGCACGUGCAAGAAUCCGAAGGGAGGCAGCAGUAGGUAAGCUUCCGCAAUGGGCGAAAGCCUGACGGGGCACCGCCGCGUCAGUGAUGAAUGUAUCCGCAUCGUAGAACUCUGUUAUCAGGGAAGAACAAAUGUGGAAGUAACUAUGCACGGCUUGACGGUAUCUAAUCAGAAAGCCACGGCUAACUACGUG